This 291-nucleotide ribosomal RNA is filed under the name uncultured Prevotella sp. RNAcentral's name for it is "partial 16S ribosomal RNA". It matches the Rfam family "Bacterial small subunit ribosomal RNA", at positions 59 to 339 of the family's 1533-position model. The record is from RNAcentral. Lineage: Bacteria; Pseudomonadati; Bacteroidota; Bacteroidia; Bacteroidales; Prevotellaceae.
AAGUCGAGGGGAAACGACAUCGAAAGCUUGCUUCCGAUAGGCGUCGACCGGCGCACGGGUGAGUAACGCGUAUCCAACCUGCCCAUCACUUGGGGAUAACCUUGCGAAAGUAAGACUAAUACCCAAUGACGUCUCUAGAAGACAUCUGAAAGAGAUUAAAGAUUUAUCGGUGAUGGAUGGGGUUUGCGUCUGAUUAGCUGGUUGGAGGGGUAACGGCCCACCAAGGCUACGAUCAGUAGGGGUUCUGAGAGGAAGGUCCCCACAUUGGAACUGAGACACGGUCCAAACUCC